Molecule: ribosomal RNA, 118 nt
Filed under: Periophthalmus magnuspinnatus
Lineage: Eukaryota; Metazoa; Chordata; Actinopteri; Gobiiformes; Gobiidae
Source: RNAcentral
UUAUAUGGCCAUACCUCCUUGUCAAAGCCUUAUCUUGUCAGAUCUCAGAAGCUAAGCAAGGCAGGAUUUGGUUAGUAUUUGAAUAGAAGACCACUGAGAGGUCCAGAUGUCACAGCGG